UUGAGCGUUUCCAGCCAACACGGAGACGCAGCGCACAGCUCAGUAACACGUGGCUAAUCUGCCCUUGGGACCGGAGCACCCCCGGGAAACUGGGGCUAAUUCUCGAUAGGUGAAGAACUCUGGAAUGAGUCUUUGCCAAAAAGAUGCUAGAGUUAUGCUCUUUGGCAUCGCCCAAGGAUGAGGCCGCGACCGAUCAGGUUGUUGGUGAGGUAAUGGCUCACCAAGCCUUUUACCGGUGCGGGCCGUGAGAGCGGGAGCCCGGAGAUGGGCACUGAGACAAGGGCCCAGGCCCUACGGGGCGCAGCAGUCGCGAAAACUUUGCAAUACACGAAAGUGUGACAGGGCUAUCCCGAGUGCCAUCCGCUGAGGAAGGCUUUUACCCAGUCUAGAACGCUGGGGGAAUAAGGAGAGGGCAAGUCUGGUGUCAGCCGCCGCGGUAAUACCAGCUCUCCGAGUGGUGUGGAUGUUUAUUGGGCCUAAAGCAUCCGUAGCUGGCUAAGUUAGUCCCUUGUUAAAUCCACCGAAUUAAUCGUUGGAUUGCGGGGGAUACUGCUUGGCUAGGGGACGAGAGAGGCAGACGGUAUUUCCGGGGUAGGGGUGAAAUCCUAUAAUCCCGGGAAGACCACCAGUGGCGAAGGCUGUCUGCUAGAACGCGCCCGACGGUGAGGGAUGAAAGCUGGGGGAGCGAACCGGAUUAGAUACCCGGGUAGUCCCAGCUGUAAACGAUGCAGGCUAGGU
This 738-nucleotide ribosomal RNA is filed under the name uncultured archaeon. RNAcentral's name for it is "bacterial SSU rRNA". It matches the Rfam family "Archaeal small subunit ribosomal RNA", at positions 58 to 772 of the family's 1478-position model. The record is from RNAcentral.